This is a long non-coding RNA of Etheostoma cragini (Arkansas darter), 277 nucleotides long. RefSeq lists it as uncharacterized. Lineage: Eukaryota; Metazoa; Chordata; Actinopteri; Perciformes; Percidae. The transcript is spliced from 3 exons. The record is from RefSeq and is a predicted model, not a curated record.
CACUUUGGGGUGCACUCCAAAACAGGGCGCCUACCGGAGGCCUUAGACCGGACCCUGGCGCGACGUGAGCCGUUACCGGCCUCACACUGUCCAUGGGCUGUGCCUCGAUCAGAAGGACUCAGGCCCCCCAGCGACACUGGGCAAGCGGUCUUCCAUACGCCACAAUUCCCCAAUCCGCCCGUCGGACGGGGAUUCGGCGCUGGGCUCUUCGCUCGCCACUGCUAAGGAAAUCCUGGUUAGUUUCUUUUCCUCUGCUUAGUAAUAUGCUUAAAUUCAG